RNAcentral lists this long non-coding RNA (333 nucleotides) under Mytilus galloprovincialis (Mediterranean mussel). Lineage: Eukaryota; Metazoa; Mollusca; Bivalvia; Mytilida; Mytilidae. The record is from RNAcentral.
UUUUUUUUUUAUAGGAGAAUGGGGUUCGAUUCCCUGCUAGGGUCAAUCCAUUUUAUCAGAAAUAUGAAACAAUUUUGUCAUUUCAGUACAACAGUAAUAAUAACAUAUACUUUAUUUUAUAUUUUAUCGUCGGAACAUAUGUUUCAAUGAAAUUAUUAUAUACAAUGACAUGCCUUUUUAACGGGAGAGAUGAAACGUGUUUUUCAGAGGGAGGGGUUUUGAAAUUAGAACAGCCAACAUGAACGUUGUGGUAUCUAGGUCAAAUAUGUCAAUUACGAAUUGUAACACAUUGUUGCCAUUGUAAAAGUAUUAGUAACAAAAUGUGUAUCAUUU